CAGCAGCCACGGUAAUACGUAGGGUGCGAGCGUUAAUCGGAAUUACUGGGCGUAAAGCGUGCGCAGGCGGUUCGUUAAGACAGAUGUGAAGUCCCCGGGCUUAACCUGGGAACUGCAUUUGUGACUGGCGAGCUAGAGUAUGGCAGAGGGGGGUAGAAUUCCACGUGUAGCAGUGAAAUGCGUAGAGAUGUGGAGGAAUACCGAUGGCGAAGGCAGCCCCCUGGGCCAAUACUGACGCUCAUGCACGAAAGCGUGGGGAGCAAACAGGAUUAGAUACCCCCGUAGUCCCUGUCUCUUAUAC
Molecule: ribosomal RNA, 301 nt
Filed under: uncultured bacterium
Lineage: Bacteria
Description: partial 16S ribosomal RNA
Rfam family: Bacterial small subunit ribosomal RNA
Source: RNAcentral